RNAcentral lists this ribosomal RNA (597 nucleotides) under uncultured bacterium. RNAcentral describes it as "bacterial SSU rRNA". It matches the Rfam family "Bacterial small subunit ribosomal RNA", at positions 338 to 946 of the family's 1533-position model. The record is from RNAcentral.
CCUACGGGAGGCAGCAGUGGGGAAUAUUGGGCAAUGGAGGAAACUCUGACCCAGCGACGCCGCGUGCGGGAUGAAGGCCUUCGGGUUGUAAACCGCUUUCAGUAGGGAAGAAGCGAAAGUGACGGUACCUACAGAAGAAGCACCGGCUAACUAUGUGCCAGCAGCCGCGGUAAUACAUAGGGUGCAAGCGUUGUCCGGAAUUAUUGGGCGUAAAGAGCUCGUAGGUGGUUCGUCACGUCGGAUGUGAAAAUCUGGGGCUCAACCCCAGACCUGCAUUCGAUACGGGCGAUCUAGAGUGUGGUAGGGGAGACUAGAAUUCCUGGUGUAGCGGUGGAAUGCGCAGAUAUCAGGAGGAACACCAAUGGCGAAGGCAGGUCUCUGGGCCAUUACUGACACUGAGGAGCGAAAGCGUGGGGAGCGAACAGGAUUAGAUACCCUGGUAGUCCACGCCGUAAACGGUGGGCACUAGUUGUGGGAACCUUCCACGGUUUCUGCGACGCAGCUAACGCAUUAAGUGCCCCGCCUGGGGAGUACGAUCGCAAGAUUAAAACUCAAAGGAAUUGACGGCNGAGAGNGCGAGACGACGACGAGGGAGAG